GUCUUGUGUCCUUUAUUCAUCUCCGUAAACAGUCAUCAUAUUAACCUGUUGGCUGGUGUUUAUCAGACAGGAGCCUGUGGUUUCCUACUCUGAACGCUGUUCGAGCCAUGUCGACUUCAGGAGGCCCCACUCCACCCUUCACCACCCUGUCAGUCACCCACCCAGCCAAUCACAUCACUCCUGUAGAGCUGCACCGACCAGAGAAACACAACACCAUGAACAAGGCCUACUGGAGUGAAAUGAUCGAAUGCUUUAAUCAGAUUGCUGAAGACUCAGAGUGCCGUGUGUUCUCAGGUGCAGGGAAAAUCUUCACUGCAGGUACAGCAGUAUGUCUUUUUUUUUCCCAGAAUUGGAAAUAUGCUUUAAUUUUUAUGUGGGUUUGCAGUGCUUUUACUCUCACAGCUGUUCAUUAUUAUAAUAAGCAAUGGCUCCAUGUGCUAUAACCACAACACUAAGUGAAGUUCAUUUAACAAGCAUCCUUAUUCUUUCCUAGUGCAGAAUGUAUUAAACUUCAAGUUUAGUAGUUAAUAGUCUUUCUAAUUAGGGAUGUGCCCGGUAUUCGAAUACACAUUUAACCUUUUGAGGUGCCAUUAGUUAAGUCAAGUGGGUUUUUAUUGUCAUUCCUCUAUAUAGCUUGUAUACACUGGAACAAAGUGACAUUCCUUCCGGACCAUGAUGCAACGCAGUUGUGUAUUUGCACUUCAUGUAGUCUUGCGUACUGUUCUGUGUGAGACGAGUGCAACACAAUAAAAACACAAAACAGCAAAUACACAGGACAGUAGAUACACAGGACAUGGACUGUACACUGUAAGCUACUGUGUAAUGUAGCAGCACAUGUAUUGCAGCAAUACUGGCAGCAGAAAUAGUUCUCUAGUAUAAAGUGACUGAUGCAGCUAUGUAGUCUUACUGGGUUAUUGCGGUGUGCAGUGGUAUGAGUCUUACUGGGUGAGGUGUUUGACUAGCCCAGGUGAGCACUGUAAUCUGACUGUCCCAGGGAAGAAACUGUUGCAGAGUCUGCUGGUGGUGGCACCGAUGCUCCUGUACCUUCUGCCAAAUGGCAGGAGGGUGAAUAGUCUGAAAGGGGUCGUCCACAAUAC
Molecule: long non-coding RNA, 1097 nt
Organism: Ictalurus punctatus (channel catfish)
Lineage: Eukaryota; Metazoa; Chordata; Actinopteri; Siluriformes; Ictaluridae
Exons: 2
Source: RefSeq, a predicted model, not a curated record